UGUCCAUGGAUAGGGGCAGAUGAAAUAAUAGGCCAGUUCCUAGAAGCCAGAAAGACAAAUCAAAAAACAAGAAGGAUGUUGGGAAGAAAAAGCCAUAUAAAAAUCUGAGAUGUUGUCAACCUUUUGGGACUAGACUCAAGUUGCUUUAGGACAGAAAGCUGUACUGUCUGUGACCACUUCUGGUUGCGUGUCUGCUAGACCAAAAAUGAUGAAUGAAGAGUGGUUUAUAGCCUUUCCCUCUCCCCAGCCCCUAUGAGAGCAUUUGAGCAUUGCCCACUCAGCUGUGCACUCCACUGCCCGCAUUUCCUAGGUCAGUCUUCAAGAGGAAAGCAGUCAGAGCCAAAGGACAACUACAAACCAUAGGACCUGCACAAGCUGAAAGAGAAGGAAACUGGUAUGUCCUAAAAGUCUCCUGGAUGCUGGGGAAGGAGGUGAUCAACAAACAAGACAGCAGGGAAGACUGUGAACUAGAGAGGCAAUAAUUGGAAGGUUAAAGACACAAGACAACUCAAAGCAAUGUCUGACCCUGGCUUGGAUCCUGUAUUGGAGGAGAAAAUGCUGUAAAAAGAAAAAUCAUUAUUGGGGCAAUUGAAUAAGGACAAUCUCUUGGAUAAAACUGCUCUAUCUGUUAAAUUUAUUGAAGUUAUGAGUUACAGUUCUGAAAGAGAAUAUCCUUGUUCUUAGGAAAUGCACAGUGAAAUAUAUAGGAAUAAAGUGGUCCUGGGAUAAAGGGUCAUACUGUAUACAGUUUAAUGUUGGUAAUAUAAUAUAAAGUAUAUAAAGAGAGUGAGACAAUGAAUACAAAACAAAGGGGGCAAAAUGUUAAAAAUAGAUUAACUUGAGUAAAUGGUAUAAGAGGUGUUCUUUGUAUUGUUUUUGCAACUUUUUUGUAAAUUUGAAAUUAUUUCCAAACCAGAAGAAAAAUCAUUAAAGAAAACAGUAUCCAAUAAAGCAUGUGGUGACAAUGAGACAAUGAAUAUUCUUCCACUGGAGUCCUCAUUUCCCAUCCCCCGGGCAACUCCUACUCAUCCUUUAAAAUAAUCUGCCAAGGUAUUACUUUCUCUAUGUUACCUUCCCCAACAUU
Molecule: long non-coding RNA, 1084 nt
Organism: Camelus dromedarius (Arabian camel)
Lineage: Eukaryota; Metazoa; Chordata; Mammalia; Artiodactyla; Camelidae
Exons: 2
Source: RefSeq, a predicted model, not a curated record